Molecule: non-coding RNA, 886 nt
Organism: Camellia sinensis
Lineage: Eukaryota; Viridiplantae; Streptophyta; Magnoliopsida; Ericales; Theaceae
Source: RefSeq, a predicted model, not a curated record
ACAAAGCCGGAGAGUAAAAAGCGGGGAGAGAGAGAGAGGGGAGACGCAGCAGGACCGUCGAGCACCGUCCUCUGUUGUUCAUCGUCCUCCACCGUCAUCUGCCAUUGUUGUUCGCCGGAACAAAACCAAGAGAGAAGAAGAAAUCUCUUGAGAAGAACGUCCGUCCUCACCCAUUGUUGUCCACCGGAACUCCCCACGCCAUAGAUUGAACCAGGAACUCUAUGAAGAACUACAGAGAGAGGACUGUAGAGGAUCCGGAUGCGUUUCGAAAACUCCGGCGUUUUGAAAAUAUGGCGUCCCUAAAAAUCGAACCGUUGUGUCGUUUAGCCAAGGGGACAAGCACCUCAUCACCACUAUAUAUACAUGUCCACAAUCAUUGGCCCAUCAUAUCUGGUACAACGUAGUACGACUUGUCCGACCAAUCCACAUAACAAAACCGUUGUCGGACAACCGCACGUUUGUUUUCGAGUUCCAAACUAGAUACAAAGAAGAGUAGGGGGUGGGAAAAUGAGUAGGAGGGGAGAGCAGCAUGGAUGCGGAGUCGAACAAGUGACGUUGAUACUGGUGGUGGCGGUUUGCCUCAUCUUUCUUCCUUUGGGGAUGGGUCCGGGGCCGUUGGGCCCCCCGCCAUUGUACGUGCUCCUCCUCUUCCCUGUGGUGGCCGCUGUCAUCUUCAUUUUCCUUUCUCAAGCCCCCAAGUGAUCCUCUCAUUAUGUUAUUACUGUAUGUUAGUUUACAUAUAUAACACAUUGUUUUAUUGUUUUGAUCUUCGAUUUUGUUUUUGGAUUGGAGAAUGGCCCGUGUACUGUAGUUCUUGUUUGGAGAUUAUAUGUAUCUAAUACACAGACACAUUUCCUAAGAAAUAUAUAUAUUUUUUGUCUUUGAA